Molecule: non-coding RNA, 19410 nt
Organism: Podarcis lilfordi (Lilford's wall lizard)
Lineage: Eukaryota; Metazoa; Chordata; Lepidosauria; Squamata; Lacertidae
Source: the annotation of a GenBank genome assembly
AGAGUCAUUUCAGUCACUGUUAGCUGGUGCCAUGGAGCCUCUAGGGACAGUGACCAUUUUGAUGAUCAUAUGUAUCUCUUGCCUUGUUUUCCUUGCAGUCAGGAGCAGGACGCCAGAGAAUGCAAAGCAGCUGCCACCUGGCCCACCUCCACUGCCCAUCAUAGGGAACGCUCUGCAGCUGAAGACCAACAACCUGGCCCAGGUUCUCCAGGAGGUAAGCCAAAGAUGAGCACCUUCCUCAACAGUUGUCUGUUGAUUACCGUUACCUGUUUGCAAGCCUCUUUCCAUCUGACUCUUUUGGAAGGGGACAGUCCAUUGUCAGUUUGUUUAUUUAUACAUUGUACCAUCUGGGUGCAGGGCACAUUUGCAGAGUCUAAGGCAACAGACUCUGCACUUUGACAGAGGAGAGGCAAGAGAGGGAGGGGAGGCAUCCAGACCAGAGGAAAAGAAUAGCAGAAUCGCUGUGAUUUCAGUGGCACGGACUUGCGCUUGGCUACAUCAGCAGGGAUGGGGAGCAGGGACUUGUCGCAAAGGCUCCACAGAAAAGAGGUGGACUUUGAGCAGGUCCCACAACUCCACAAAGGGGGUUGUUUUAUUGUCAUUUUAUUGUCUUAUGCUUAAAAUAAAAGCCAUAAACCCCCCUUCUGAGUAACGAACUUUAAAAAGCAACAGUGCAAUUUUCAUACUAUAUUAGAGACAGGGGGCGGGGGUGGGUCCAGUUCUCCCUCCACACAUGGAUGGUUUGGGCAUUAUUGCCCUCUGAACAUUUUUAGCCUCUGCUGGACAGUGGGGAGUUCAUAGUCUUCUUCUAUUUUGAAAAGCUGCUACUUCAUUUCCCCCAGAAUGUGGUUGGAAGGUACUUUAAGAAUUCCCUUAGAAAAAUGAGUGUGACGUGAGAUAUAACAUAUAAUCAUAUUUAUGGUAUAGAGAAAGUGGACAGGAAAACACUCUUACCCCCCUCUCAUAAUGCCAUACCCUUCAACAUUUCUCCAAAGAAAAAAGGGACAUCCCAUUCCAUAAUGAUAAUUUUACUAUUUAUAGCCCACACACCCUACUGGGUUGCCCCAGCCACUCUGGACAGCUUCCAACAUAUAUAAAAACAUAAUUAAAACAUUAAAAAUUAACCAAAAACCACUUCCCUAUUCAGGAUUGCCUUCAGAGGGGAUCGGAUAACUCUAUACCCUCCAACAUUUCCCCAGUGAAGAUAGGGACAGCCUAAGGACAUUCUGUGAUCAACCUGUGAUGGCUUCUCUAAAUCAGUGAUGUCCCUGGAAAAUAGGGACACUUGAAGGGUCUGUAAUGCUAAAACUUGGAGUCUUCAAUUAAAGCUGAGUGUUGGAAGAUUUACAACACAUGCAAGAUAGUAGUUCUUCAUACAGUGCAUAUUGAAACUGUGGAAUUCACUGUGGAAUUUUGUUAAGACAAAAUUCAUUGAAGAUAAAGCUACCCAUAGCUGCUAGCGAUUAUGCUGAACCUCCACCAGUUCCAGGGACCUGCAGGAGGGGAGCGUGCUAUCAGUGGCGUAGCGUGGGGGUGCAGGGGGGGCCGGCCGCACCGGGCGCAACAUCCGGGGGGGCGCUCGCACUCGCAGCUCUCUGCCCCUACCUGGCUCACUCACUCUCUCUCACUGCAGUGCUGGCUGUGCGAAUCCAAUCCAAGCCGCUGGGUCGCUGCCCACUGUGGAGGGGGUGGGUGCCAGGCGUGCAGUGCAGAGAGAGAGCGAGGGACUAUCUGGGGGAGGGACAGUGCAGCGGCCGCCCAGCACAGCGCUGAGCGCGGGAGAGAACCACACCACACCAGACCAGACCAGGCAGCAGCAAGAAGAAGCUGGGAGCGGCGGCAGGUUAGGGGUUAGGGGGCGCAAAUUACUUGCCUUGCCCCGGGUUAGGGGGCGCAAAUUACUUGCCUUGUCCCGGGUUAGGGGGCGCAAAUUACUUGCCUUGCCCCGGGUUAGGGGGCGCAAAUUACUUGCCUUGCCCCGGGUGCUGACAACCCAUGCUACGCCGCUGCGUGCUAUUGCACUCAGGUCUUGUUUUUGAGCUUCCCAGAAGAACUGUGUUGGCCACUGUGAUAACAGUCGUGGACUAGUUGGCCUUUGGCCUGAUCUAGCUGCAGAACACUUCUGUAUGUUAUUAAGAGUCAUGUGGUUCAGAUGCCCAUAGUGAGUCUGGGGGCAGCGGGGCUCUACAUCAGCUAUAUGAACCUCUCCUAACCUGCAAACCCACCUAGAUGUGUGUCCUUCUCUAUCUUUUUUCCAGUUUGGUGAGAAGUAUGGCUCUGUGUUCACAAUGUAUUUUGGAGCAGAACGUGUUGUGGUGCUGCAUGGCUAUGAUGCAGUGAAAGAAGCACUGAUCGACCGUGGAGAUGAAUUUGCUGCCAGGGGACACCUGCCAUUAGCUGAUGAUGCCAACAAGGGAUUAGGUAUUCUUUGCUGGUUGACCGGGGGGGGGGGGGACAGGAAAAUCCCUCUAUUCAUGAAAAUAAAGCAAAAAAGGUUGCAAAGACAGGUCACUGCAUCUUGUUCCCACUGGACAGUAGCAAUAGAUAAUUAGCAGCCUUUUAAUGGCAUAGCUAUAUAUUGGCCAUUGCCAUUUAAGAGAGAAAUGAGCCACCUCAUAAAAGUACUUAAGCAAUAUCUAGGACAGUAGCGGAGAAAGGUGGUUACAGCUAGCAUCAAAACAUCUAGAGCAAGCAUCAAAAAUUAAAGCAGGAUUGAAUGAGUCCCUAGCCUUUAAAAAUAAUGGUCUGGGGUAAUUCUGGUGCGGGCAGUAAGUGUGAGAGUUAUGUGAGCAGAAUUCCCUGGCCUGGAUCUUGUGAAUCAAGAAGCUCUCCAUACCAAGAAAGAGUUUCAAAGUUACUGCAAGCUAUCGUUAAAUUUGUUACCAAAAAAAUAAAUAAAUACAAAUCAACACAUUGCACUUAUACAACUAGCAAUGUAGUUGUACUUUUCUUUAAGUUCUUUCUGGUUAAUAUAGUCCAAGACCUAUUGCUUCUUCAUUAUACUGGCAGCUUCAGAGAGAGACCCAGGCUCCAAGAGAUGAAUUAUCUGUUAACAUAACUAUCGAAACAUUGAAACCUCUUUUUAAGCUUUAGCUGCAAAAAUGGACAUUCUGUAAAUGCAAACCUCCACUACGUUUCAUACACAACACGCACAAUCAUAGCAUGUUAUGCACAUUAAACACAUAUAUUUUACAGUAAGGGCAUGUAUCAGAAGACUGGCCAGCUACUGAUUAUGGAAUAAGGAGGCACCAAAGUACCAAGUCUCCAGGUGGUCUGGAGCCAAGAAUAAGAGCCUCCUGCUCUUCCAACCUGCUUCUUCUGCUCUCCCUUUCAGUCCAUCCAUCUCCUUCAUGCCCAUUUCCUCUUCUGCUUUCCAGGAAUUAUAUUCAGCAAUGGGGAGGUGUGGAAGCAGCUCCGACAUUUUGCCCUUACCACCCUGCGCAACUUUGGCAUGGGAAAGAAAAGUAUUGAGGAGAGGAUCCAGGAGGAAGCACAGUUCCUGCUAGAAAAGUUCCAGGACACGCAGGGUGGGUAGCCACUGCCCCUCAUCCACAUAGGCUUAUCAAGCAGACCCCCUUAAACAUCACAACAGAAUCUGGGGUACAUUACAACGGAUUAUUAACCACCAACUCAUAAAGAAAUAUCAUGGUGGUUACAAGGAAAUUAUUAAAAAAAUUAAAAUCGUAAAACACAGAACUAGUGACCAAAACUGAAUCAAAUAAAUUACCUAAAAACACUUCUGAAAUACAAACAUUUUCAUCAGGUGAUGAAAUGCCAGAAUUCUAGCUGGUUUCAAUAGGAACCACAUUCCAAAGCACAGGUGCCAUUGUGCUCAAAGUUUUAAUAGAUAUAAUUGAUAUCUGCAUUGAUAUGAAACAAACAUGUGAUGAGUGUGUGGCAAUUUGGAAGGCUUCGCCAGAUGCUCAUAUUGAUAUGACCAGUGGGUAUGGGCUAAGGUGGUCCUUAGGUCACCUGGUCCUAGGUAACUGAGGACUUCAUACACACCCGUAAUGCACUGAACUUACCUUGUCAAUGUAAUGGCAAGAUGCAUAGCUUUCAGCAGGGGUGUAAUAUGCUGACACAGAGCAGUUCCAACUAAAGCCCGGCUGCUGCUUCUCUAUCAACUGCAAGAGUGCUCCACAGAUAUUGUUGAAUUCCAGCUGCUUUCAGCCCCAACAGUCAACAGUGGUCCAGAAGUUAGAGUCUAGCAGCAUCUGAAGUGCUUUAGAUUCCCUAGUUUUAGUCUAGACUUCACCAAGGCCUGCACCACUGUGGUCACCCUUUCCUAUCUAAGGAUAUAUUGGCUGAAGCUGGAGGAAAGCACCUUGGAAAGUCCUUGGAAGAAACCACUCAUAGCCACUGAAGAUGCCCAUGCCUCCAGAAUUGUUGUGAGAAAGGCAGCUUCCUGUCUGACCACUGAGGCCAGGAGCCAGGAAAUGGCAGCUCAGAAAUUCCAGACUAGAUUAUUGCCUAAAACCUGUAGUGGGGUUGUAUAAUUAUUAUUUUUUUUGUUCUUCCAGAGAAGCCCUUGGAUCCAACCUACUUGCUCAGUUGCGCUCUCUCCAAUGUCAUUUGUGCAAUUAUCUUUGGGAAACGAUAUGAUUAUAAUGACAAGAAUUUCCAAUCCAUGAUGAGCUUAAUGAAUGAAAACUUUCAGGUUUUUAGCUCUCCUUGGGGACAGGUAGGUGCCAUCUGGUUAAAUGCAUUCUUUUCCACAAAGUCUAAAGUUUACUUGCAUGUGGAAUAUUUAUUUAUGUAGAUACUGCCUCUGGCUGUGGCCAUUUUCCUGCUGUUUAAAUGUCUUUCUUCCAGGCUUCUCAUGGCCCAUACUGCCUCUGCCUCUUAAUAUUUCUGUUAAUGUCCUAGUUGCAGCCUUGCCAUGGGUAACUGGUUAGCCACUGUGACAGCAGGAUGUGCCACUGGCCUGAUUCAAUAGUCUCUUCUUACGUUCUUAUGUUUUUAAUUUGGAGAUCCAGUCAAGGCACACAAUGCACCUGGGUCUAGUAACCAAGGUUUGACUUAACAGCAGCCCAGUGGAGCAGGAAGUAAAGCUUAACCAGUAAAACCCACACGCUCAAGUUUCUAACUGGAACUAAUCACUUGGGAUGUAUAUACACUGCCAUUGCCUCUGCAUCCAGUGUGCUUCCACCACUGGUUUGAGAAGGUGUGAAUACAUGACGUUAGCCACAAUCCAUAUCUAUCCUGCCUUGUUGCAUUUUAAGCCAGCGAUGUGUACACAGCCUGGUUUCAACAGGAGGAGCAGAUGGGACUAAAUUUAGAGAUAUGUAUGUAACCCCAUAGCUCAGCUUUACACCAUUUGGCUUAUUUAUAUAGGGUCCCAGAGUCAAUUCCUAGUAGCAUUCCUAGUUAGGAAUGGGACUCCUGAAUGAUACCCAGCAGAGCUGCUGCAUAGGCAGUACUGACCUUGAGAGAACAAUGGUCUCAUUCAGUAUAUACCUUUUAACAUGUGGAGUUUUUUGGGGGGGGUAAUUGGGUUGUUGUUCUUAUUUUGAUUAUGCAUUUUGUGGUUUUAUAUUUUGAUUUUAGUCUGUGAACCGCCCUGAGACCUGUGGGUAUAAAUCUGCAUAUGACCUCUACAAACAUUAGGUAGAGGGUGGGAAAGCACUAACUGAGGGGAAGGGAAGAUAAUACAAUGCAGUACAAUCAAUGAAGCACCACCCAGUAAUGCAGAUGGGGAACAUCUACAUAGAUUUGGGAGGCAUUGGUAGUGAAAAUGAUGGCGUGUGGACACAGAGUUGAAAUGCACACAAGGCAGCAGUGGCCAACAUUAUACUGAAGCCCGAGUGUGGACAAACCCUGACUGAGGCUGGUGCCAAUGGGUCUAUUGUGGUGUUUCUUCUAGCUCUACAACAUCUUUCCUUCUUUGAUGAAAUGCAUCCCUGGGCCCCACCACAAAGUGCUGAAAAACAACUUGGCACUCAGAGAGUUUGUUUUGGAGGAGGUUGAAGAGCACAAGGCCACUCUGGACGCCAACUCACCUCGGGAUUUUAUCGACUGCUUCCUUAUGAAAAUGGAUCAGGUAAUCAUGAAAACUCACAGAACUCUCCAAGUGGGUUCUCCUGUGACUCCUGAAGCUUCCCAACCAGCAGACUUCCAUCCAGCUUCUUGUGGGGAAUACCAAGCAAAGAGAUUCCUGCCCACACCCCAUUGGAGUAGAUUCAUUUCCCAUUGCUGACUUGUUCCUGCAGUAAGUGGGAAGUUCUUUCUAAUGAUUAGCCCUCUGGGCAAGGAAUGUCCAGAGGAACAAGCUAUAAAAAGACUUGAGAUAAGAUGUGUCUUGGGAAGAGAGCUGGUCCCAGUGGCGCAAUUAAAUUCUUGUUAUGUUGUACUCAGAACAAUUGAGUCGACUCCACUGGCUGUGUUGUGUGUUUCUGCAGGAAAAAGGUAAUAGUGCAUCCAAUUUCACCAUUGAAAACUUGGCCAUAAGCACAGUUGACUUGUUUGUGGCUGGAACAGAGACCACCAGCACCACAUUGCGAUACGGGUUCAUGAUCCUCCUCAAAUACCCAGAGAUACAAGGUAAAACAGAUACGUUAUUAGUACUUAUUAUUCUAGUUCUUUCCCAGAUGUAUGUGUCACAGGUCCAAGAGGUGGUUGUUCUGCCACUUUCCCCAGGAAAACCCACUGUUCAUUGCUGAAUGUUAAUCAUCGCUGACUGACAUCAGCAGUAAACAGAAGGCUUUCGUGGAGACAACAGUGUGUGUAUGUGUGUGUGUGUGUGUGUGGGGACAAAAUGCUCAGACCCAUGCCUAGAAAUCCCAGCAAAAACAGAAGUGUGGAUUGUUGGUUUCUAUUUCCCUCACUGAGCAGCAACUGCAGUCGCAAGACAUUGUUUUGCAUUCCACAGUCUGUACUGUUGGGGUUUCUCACGGGAAAGGGAGACUGGAUGUGACGUACACUGGUUUCCUGUUUUUUCACUGUGAUUCUCUCCGAGCUGUUGAGGAGAGAGGGUGCAUUUUUCUGCUCCUGCAGAGGCAAGAUGUCUUUCUGUAAUAUACCAGCUUUGAACUGUAAAUAAAGCAAUAUAGAGUAUGUAGCACGUAUUCUUCAUCCUUCCGCUGGCCACGACAGACUCUGCUUUAAAUCAACACGUGGUUAUGGACUCCAGAGGUCGAAUCGGAGUGCCGGCAAAGGAUCGGAAUGCAGAGGAACGGAUCGGAAAGGAAUCUGCUCUGCGCGUAGAAGUGAUUGAUGAGGUAUGUGCUACUGCUCCGGGCAGCCUGCCAGCUUCAAGUUAAUGGCUUUAUGGCUGGACUUUGAACUUUAAAGCCGGUUUUGCAAAUAGGCAAACGGCUCCCAGGCACAAGUCACUAUGCUGGGGAAAUCGAAAGUAACUUUUAAGUGUGCCUUUGUAAUGAGGCAGCUGCAGCAGUGACGCAGCAAGAUUUAAAGCAGCAUAUGACGCUGAAGGCUAAUGCCAGAGUCAUGAUGGCCCUUCAGGAUGCUUGUAGGAUUCCUAAGCUCAACAAGAAUAAUUACAGCGACUGGGUUCAGUAUGCAGAGGCAAUUCUGCGGAAAGAGGGUUUGUUUGAGGUGAUUACAGAAACCCCCCCAGUGCCAGUUACAGAUGCAUGGGAAGCUAAGGAUUCCAAAGCAAGGGUAACUCUUACAUUGAUAGUAUCCCCAGAAGAGCUCUGUCUAUUGCGUGAUAAGACCUCAGCCAGAGAAAUUUGGGACGCUCUGAGAGAGGCUCACUUAAGGACAGAAGCUGGAUCUACUAUGUUUUACUUUAACAAGCUGCAUAAUAUGGCUCUUGCUGAAGGUGGAGAUGUGCGUUUACAUCUGAUGGAGAUGCAAAAUCUGAGACAUGAGCUGCAACAGAGAGGACUCAACUUUCCAGAGGCUGUGUAUUCUUUCAUGAUACUACAAUCUUUGGGUUCAGGUUGGGAGUCUGUUGCAACCCAGAUUGCUGUGCAACCAACUGCUCAGCUGACAGUGGACUUUGUUACUGCCGUGAUUUUAAAUGAAGCAGAUCGCCGGGGUGCUAGCUGCAUGGGCAAGGGAGAGUCUUCACAGACGUCAUCCCAUAGUGCAGUGGAACCACCAGAUGGCGCCAAAGCUUUGAAGGCAGUGAAAUGCCACUCGUGUGGACGUCUAGGCCAUAUGAAGAGGGAAUGCAGACAUCCCAGGGCCAAGACAGAGCAGCGCAGCGAAAGCUCAUCGCGCGGAAAAGGCCGAGGCAAAGGCAAAGGUCCGGUGUCUAGGACAACGCAGCACAAGGCUAUGGUUUCACGCUUCACUCCAAAGGUUGCAGAGGUCCAGAAGACGUCUAGAUCUUUCUUCGUUGUUGAUUCAGCGGCGACCCACCACAUGUGCAACGAUAAGAAACUGUUUGUGUCUUUUACACCGCAGGAAGGUGCGAUUCACCAGGCGGAUGACCACACUAUUCCCAGUAAAGGCUACGGAACUGUUGUUCUUCACAGUUUGGACUUAUCGAUACAGAAUGUGCUUUACGUGCCAGACGCCAAACAUAAUCUGCUCAGCGUUGGACAGCUGAAUGAGCGGAACAUUGACGUUUCCUUCAAGAACAAGAAGUGCAUCAUCACAAAGAAAAAUGAUUAUGUAUUGCAUGCAGAAUAUGUUGAUCAUUUGUUUGUUUUGUAUUAUGAUGAUGUGGUGCAGGAUGACACUUGUUGCAUUGCAGGUUCUAACAAAGUUUGCAUGCAGAAUGUAUUCACGAUUUUCAUCGCAAAUUUGGUCAUUUGCAUUUUGAGGCAGUAUCUAAAAUGCCUGCCUUGGUUGAAGGUAUGACUAUUAAACCCUGCAGGUACCACAUGAAGUGCAAAGCAUGCGCAGCAAACAAGGUGAAAAUGGCUGCGAAAGGUAAGGUGUCUAGUAGGAAGCUACAGAACCAUACCAGGUUGUUCAUGCUGAUUUGGUUGGACCACUAACGCCCUCUUUGGGUGGAAAUAGAUACUUCAUGGUUCUCAUUGAUGCAUUUUCUAGAUAUAUUUUUGUGUACAAUCUCAAGCAGAAAUCGGAGGCUUUUCCUAGGUUCAAGGAAUUCUGUGCUUGGUUGGAAAAUGUGCAUGGUAAGAAGAUAAAGACUCUUUUCAGUGAUCGCGGGGAAUUCACUUCUCAGCAGUUUGAAGCUUUUCUGACUGAGAAAGGAAUUCAACACGAUUUGUCUAGUCCUCGCUCGCCAUGGCAGAAUGGACUUGCGGAACGGGCAAAUCAAACAUUGCUUCAAUCCCCCCCCCACCCACCCCCCCCCCCCCCCACCCCCCCCCCCCCCCCCCCCCCCCCCCCCCCCCCCCCCCCCCCCCCCACCCCCCCCCCCCCCCACCCCCAAAAGGUUGCAAAGACAGGUCAUUGCAUCUUGAGAUAAACUUUCCUAAUUAAUGUUCCCACUGGACUGUAGCAAUAGAUAAUUAGCAGCCUUUUAAUGGCAGAGCUAUAUAUUGGGCAUUGCCAUUUAAGAGAGAAAUGAGCCAUCUCAUAGCAGUACUUAAGCAAUAUCUAGGGCUGUAGCGGACAAAGGUGGGUGUGGUGGGUGUGGUGGGUGCUGGCCGCCCUGGGUGAAAUCCCUGAGGGGUUCGCCCCUCAGAUCGCCACAGGUGGCACCCCCCUGGGAUGUGCGUUGCCGCCAGCACCCCCCGGAAGCUCCCCUCCACCAUGCGCCGCCUUACACCCACGGGUGCUUACCCCUGCCCACGCAGGCCGCUCCAGGUGCUGGAGCAGCUAGGUCCUCCUCUGGUCUAGAGCAAGCACCAAAAAAUUAAAUUGAAUGAGUCUCUAGCCUUUAAAAAUAAUGGUCUGGGGUAAUUCUGGUGUGGGCAGUAAGUGUGAGAGUUAUGUGAGCAGAAUUCCCUGGCCUGGGUUUUGUGAAUCAAUAAGCUCUCCACACCAAGAAAGAGUUUCUUUUUUUAAAAAAAUGAUAUUUAUUGAGAAUUUAAAAUUACAAAGAAAGAAAGAAAACAAGAGAAAAAGAAAAAGAAAGAAGACGGUAGACAAAAAUAACAAUUGAACAAUACAAGUCAAUAAAAAACCAAAGUCAAAGAAAAAAAAACCAAAACAAAACACACAAUACAUCAAAAUCAAAAAACAAAAAUAAACAAAAAAUUUAAAAACAAAUCCAAUAUUCCCAAAUCCUUAUUUUCCAUUAACUUAUUUCAUCGACCUCCUCACACCUCCCUUUUUUGUAUUCUAGUUAUUAAUUAUCUCAGCAAAUCUUUUCCAUCUUUCACAAUAUUCUGUCAUUAAAUUACCUUAAUCUAUUUUAACCUUAUCUUACCAUAAAAAAACCUAAAACUUAAAACUUAAAUCUUAUUUAUACCUAAUUCUUUUAAACAUAAAAUAUUCUUACAUAAUUCUUUUUAACAUUUCUACUAAAGCCAAAUAAUUUCAUUCCAACAUUUUUCUAGUACUCAUUAAUUUUACGAUAAUUUCCUAAAUAAAUUUUUAAAACUUUCUUCCAAUCUUCAUCCAUCGUCUCUUCUUCCUGGUCUUGGGUUUUGUCAGUCCUUUCUAUCCCAUCCAUCUAGUCCAUCAACCUGGUGACCUUCUAUCCGAGGCUCUUAAGUCUUUUCCAUGUCCCUUCCGCAGGUCUUCUUCAUGUUUGUACCUGUACUUUACUUUGUCUUCUGCUGAUCUUAUUCUUAAUUUCCUUCCUUUCUCUCGGGGAGACUCCAACUUGACAAUAUCCUUGUCCCUACUCGACAAGUCAGCCCAUUCUCCAUAGUCGACACUGAAAUCCAUAUGAUAUUUAGAGGCAUGUUUCAAAGUCCCUCCAAAGUUAAGGGCCCCCACAACUCACAACUCCCCCGGGCCCAAAGCCAAAUUCGAAAGGUCAAAACAUCCCUGCAUAGGGGGAUCUAUCCAGCUUCCCAUCUCCAAGCCAAACAGAACUCCAUCUCUCCAAAUCUGGCUUUCUCCAGAUUCAUUCGUCAGAUCCAACAACUUAUGUUCCUGCAGGGCCACAGCUCUCUCCAUUUCUGCUACUUGAGGUUCAGGAACAACCUCCUUCUUUAUCUUCUUCACCACUUGAUCUGUCAAAGCACAUUCCUGGAUUAAUUCCUGAGUGGGUUCUAUAUAGGUACUCGCUGUUUGUCCAAAUUUUCCGACUGCAACAGUCAUCAAAUCCAUCUUCUCAUGUAGCUGUUCCAGUAAAGCACUUGUCUUGCAAAGAGCAAGCACUAAUGCUUGUUCUAGGCACAUUCUUGUUCAAAGUCAAAGUCUGGUCCCACGAUCUUUAAUCUCUACAGCUGCAAAGCUCCCCAGAUCGACUCUAAUAACAGUUUCACAAGCUCCCUCUAGGGGAAACAAUUUCUAUUUGUAUCCGUCUUUUUAAAAGCAGAUCUAGCAACAAAGUUCCUUUCCUUUUUCAGAUAUUUUGUUUCUUUUAAAUGCAAGAGGGAACAUUGGAAUCAAUAUGUUUCUCUUUUUUAACUAUCUGUCAAAAACGUUUGUCCACAGUCAAUGAACUUCCCCAAAGCGUCCGUCCUGACACCCCGCUCCCAGGUUCAAGACGGUGGAAAUUUAUCUUUCUUUACUCUCUCUUCUGCAGGUUUAAACAGUCUAAAAAGAUUCCCCCCUCUUCUCCUACCUCCAAGGGGUUUAGUAAUUUUAAAUGAUGGAAAUUUAAUCCUUUACAGACGACUUUCCAGACUCUAGCUUGCAAUGUCUUUGCUUCAAUCUAUUUACAAAAGCGGAAGGCAGACUUCCUGUUUAGACCUUCCCGCUUCGGUGCCAAAUUAAGAAAUUUCAUAGUCCAAUUUUCCGUUCUACUCACAAGCAGUUGUUUAAAAUCCAAUUGUCCACAGGAAAAAGUCAGCGCUCUCCGGCAACAGCAAUGCGGCUUCACUCCAUGAAAAAAGCAGUCGAUUCGAAGCACCGCGCCAUUCACCCCACGUCGCUCCGGAUCCCCGAAACCGGGUUUCCCCGCGAAUAGGGGAGGCGCAAAAGGUGCCAGCCGAAUCCCACAUCCACAGGCUUCUCCCGCCUGUGGUUUUUAAUGGGUCUCCGCCUCACCGUGGCAGUCCAAACCCUAAUUCUCACGAAGCGGAUUCCUCCCGAUCAGAGGAAAUCCGCCAUUGCCAGAGGUGCUAACCCGGAAGUCCACACCAAGAAAGAGUUUCAAAGUUACUGCAAGCUAUCGUUAAAUUUGUUACCAAAAAUAAAUAAAUAAAUAGAAAUCAACACAUUGCACUUAUACAACUAGCAAUGUAGUCCAGUUUUCUUUAAGUUCUUUCUGGUUAAUAUAGUCCAAGAACUAUUGCUUCUUCAUUAUACUGGCAGCUUCAGAGAGAGACCCAGGCUCCAAGAGAUAAAUUAUCAGUUAACAUAAAUAUCAAAACAUUGAAACCUCUUUUUAAGCUUUAGCUGCAAAAAUGGACAUUCUGCAAAUGCAAACCUCCACUACAUUUCAUACACAACACACACACAAACAUAGCAUUUUAUGCACAUUAAACACAGAUAUUUUACAGUAAGGGCAUGUAUCAGAAGACUGGCCAGCUACUGCUUAUGGAAUAAGGAGGCACCAAAGUACCAAGUCUUCAGGUGGUCUGGAGCCAAGAAUAAGAGCCUCCUGCUCUUCCAACCUGCUUCUUCUGCUCUCUCUUUCAGUCCAUCCAUCUCCUUCAUGCCCAUUUCCUCUUCUGCUUUCCAGGAAUUAUAUUCAGCAAUGGGGAGGUGUGGAAGCAGCUCCGACGUUUUGCCCUUACCACCCUGCGCAACUUUGGCAUGGGAAAGAAAAGUAUUGAGGAGAGGAUCCAGGAGGAAGCACAGUUCCUGCUAGAAAAGUUCCAAGACACUCAGGGUGGGUAGCCACUGCCCCUCAUCCACAUAGGCUUAUCAAGCAGACCCCUUGAACAUCACAACAGAUUCUGGGGUACAUUACAACAGAUUAUUAACCAUCAACUCAUAAAGAAAUAUCAUGGUGGGUACAAACAAAUUAUAAAAAAAUUAAAAUCGUAAAACACAGAACUAGUGACCAACACUGAAUCAAAUAAAUUGCCUAAAAACACGUGAAAUACAAACAUUUUCAUCAGGUGAUGAAAUGCCAAAAUUCUAGCUGGUUUCAAUAGGAACCAUAUUCCAAAGCACAGGUGCCAUUGUGCUCAAAGUUUUAAUAGAUAUAAUAGAUAUCUGCAUUGAUAUGAAACAAACAUGUGAUGAGUGUGUGGCAAUUUGGAAGGCUUCUCCUGAUGGUCAUAGUGAUCUGCGCAGUGUGUAUGGGACAAGGUGGUCCUUAGGUCACCUGGUCCUAGGUCACUCAGAGCUUCAUACACACCAGUAAUGCACUGAACUUACAUUGUCAAUGUAAUGGCAAGCAAUGCAUAGCUUUCAGCAGGGGUGUAAUAUGCUGACACAGACCAGUUCCAAAUAAAGCCCAGCUGCUGCUUCUCUAUCAACUGCAAGAGUGCUCCACAGAUAUUGUUGAAUUCCAGCUGCUUUCAGCCCCAACAGACAUCAGUGGUCCAGAAGUUACAGUCCAGCAGCAUCUGAAGUGCUUUAGAUUCCCUAGUUUUAGUCUAAACUUCACCAAGGCCUGCUCCACUGUGGUCACUCUUUCCUAUAUAAGGAUAUAUUGGCUGAAGCUGGAGGAAAGCACCUUGGAAAGUCCUUGGAAGAAACCACUCAUAGCCACUGAAGAUGCCCAUGCCUCCAGCAUUGUUGUGAGAAAGGCAGCUCCCUGUCUGACCACUGAGGCCAGGAGCCAGGAAAUGGCAGCUCAGAAAUUCCAGACUAGAUUAUUGCCUAAAACCUGUAGUGGGGUUGUAUAAUUAUUUUUUUUGUUAUCCUUCCAGAGAAGCCCUUGGAUCCAACCUACUCGCUCAGUUGCGCUCUCUCCAAUGUCAUUUGUGCAAUUGUCUUUGGGAAACGAUACGAUUAUAAUGACAAGAAGUUCCUAUCCAUGAUGAGCUUAAUGAAUGAAAACUUUCAGGUUUUUAGCUCUUCUUGGGGACAGGUAGGUGCCAUCUUUUUAAAGGCCCUUUUCCACAAAGUCUAAAUUUUCCUACUGUUUAAAUUCUUUCUUCCAGGCUUCUCAUGGCCCAUACUGCCUCUGCCUCUUGAUAUUUCUGUUAAUGUCCUAGUUGCAGCCUUGCCAUGGGUAACUGGUUAGCCACUGUGACAGCACAAUGGGCCACUGGCCUGAUUCAAUAGUCUCUUCUUACGUUCUUAUGUUUUUAAUUUGGAGUUCCAGUCAAGGUCGGUGCAUUCAGUCCCAAUACCUGGGUCUAGUAACCAAGGUUUAACUUAACAGCAGCCCAGUGGAAAAGGAACUAAAGCUUAAGCAGUUUUGGAAGUGGGGGUGGGGGAUUGUUGCAUGAUUUCUCAGUUUUUUGUAAAGGUACACAUAGGAGAAAUAAAAAAAUAAAAAAAUCUGCAUAUGACCUCUACAACCAUUAGGCAGAGGGUGAGAAAGCACUAACUGAGGAGAAGGGAAGAUAAUACAAUGCAGUACAAUCAAUGAAGCACCACCCAGUAAUGCAGAUGGGGAACAUCUACAUAGAUUUGGGAGGCAUUGGUAGUGAAAAUGAUGGUGUGUGGACACAGAGUUGAAAUGCACACAAGGCAGCAGUGGCCAACAUUAUACUGAAGCCCGAGUGUGGACAAACCCUGACUGAGGCUGGUGCCAAUGGGUCUCUUGUGGUGUUUCUUCUAGCUCUACAACCUCUUUCCUUCUUUGAUGAAAUGCAUCCCUGGGCCCCACCAUAAAGUGCUGAAAAACAACUUGGCACUCAGAGAGUUUGUUUUGGAGGAGGUUGAAGAGCACAAGCCCACUCUGGACCCCAGCUCACCUCGGGAUUUUAUCGACUGCUUCCUUAUGAAAAUGGAUCAGGUAAUCAUGAAAACUCACAGACCUCUCCAUGUGGGUUCUCCUGCCACUCCUGAAGCUUCCCAACCAGCAGACUUCCAUCCAGCUUCUUGUGGGGAAUGCCAAGGAAAGAGAUUCCUGCCCACACCCCAUUGGAGUAGAUUCAUUUCCCAUUGCUGACUUGUUCCUGCAGUAAGUGGGAAGUUCUUUCUAAUGAUUAGCCCUCUGGGCAAGGAAUGUCAAGAGGAAUGAGCUGUAAAAGGACUUGAGAUAAGAUGUUGUAUCUUGGGACGGGAGCUGGUCCCAGUGGCACAGUUAAAUUCUUGUUAUGUUGUACUCAGAACAAUUGAGUUGACUCCACUGACUGUGUUGUGUGUUUCUGCAGGAAAAAGGUAAUAGUGCAUCCCAUUUCACCAUUGAAAACUUGGCCAUAAGCACAGUUGACUUGUUUGCGGCUGGAACAGAGACCACCAGCACCACACUGCGAUACGGGUUCAUGAUCCUCCUCAAAUACCCAAAGAUACAAGGUAAAACAGAUGCGUUAUUAGUACUUAUUAUUCUAGUUCUUUCCCAGAUUUAUGUGUCACAGGUCCAAGAGGUGGUUGUUCUGCCACUUUCCCCAGGAAAACACACUGUUCAUUGCUGAAUGUUAACCAUCGCUGACUGACAUAAGCAGUAAACAGAAGGCUUUCCUGGAGACCACAGUGGGGAUGUGUGUGUGGACAAAAUGCUCAGACCCAUGCCUAGAAAUCCCAGCAAAAACAGACGUGUGGAUGAGCUCUUAUAGCUGACCAUAUUGCAAACCCCAGGAUUUUAUAUACAAGCAGUAACAACUUGAAUUUGGCUCAGUAGUAUAGUGGCAGCCAGUGCAGAUCCUUUAGACAAAGGCAUCACAUCCUGCACCAGCUGCACUUUUUGUGCCAGCCUGAAGGGUAGCCCACAAAGGCACAACCACAAGGGCCAGGGGUCAAAAGGCCCUCAGGUAGGAUCAGAAUCACUGCAGGACAGUGCCUCCAAUAGGAAUCCCUCUAAGCUGGACCAUCACUUGCUCCUAAAACUUCCCUAAAGAGGAGGCUUUUGUCCCUCUGGGCUCCUUUUGGAUAAAAAUUGAAUUAAUAUAUAAAUAAUUGCAGUUAUACAAUAUUUCCCUGUUUACAGAUGGAUUACUGAAGGUGAGCUACAAUAAUUUGUCUGAGUUAAUAUGAUGAGUCAAUAGAAAGUUGGCAUCAGAAAACAUUGAAAGCUCCAAAAAUGUGCAGGGGCUGGCAGGCACUCCCAUGAAGUUUCAAUUUCUUCUAUGAUAUUUCCUGCACUGGUGUUAAACCUCAUUCUUCCCAUUACAGAGAAAGUGCAUGAAGAAAUUGACCGAGUUAUUGGCCGAUCACGAAGUCCUUGCAUAGCAGAUCGUGGGGAAAUGCCUUACACAGAUGCUGUCAUCCAUGAGAUCCAGAGGUUCAUCUCUCUCAUCCCACUGAGCGUCCCUCAUGCAGUACUCAAAGACACACCGUUCAGACAAUAUGUCAUUCCAAAGGUUAGCUCUUUUCAAGGCUCUAAGUAGUAAUAGUAGGCUGUUAGCCAUGAUGGCUAUAUUCUACCUCCAUGGUGAGAGGCAGCAUGCUUCUGAAUACCAGUGGGUGGAAACCACAGGAACUGAGAGUGCUGUCUUGUUUAGAUUAUGUUGAUGGGCUUCCCAUGGGCAUUUGGUUGGACACCAUGAAAACAGGAUGCUGGACGAGAUGGGGCCACUGGACUGAUCCAGCAGAGCUUUUCUUCUCUUCUUAUGUACAAGCAAGGGAAGUAGUUUAGCCCAACUCCUAAAGUGUAGCUUGGCAUCUUCAGGCCUGAACUUCAUUUUAAACACCCUAUUGCCUUCUGAACCUGCUCCAGUCUUUUUCUGGAUCAACAAAGUACCUUCCUUUUUGUUAGUGCCUUCCCACACCAUUCCUUUGGGUGUCAUGGCCAUCCAGCCCAUUUCUUUGCACUCUCUGCAGGGCACUACCAUAUAUCCAAGUCUGAUGUCUGUGCUACAUGACAGCAAAGAAUUUCCAAACCCCAAAGAAUUUGACCCAGGACAUUUCUUGCACAAAGAUGGCACCUUCAGGAAGAGCGACUAUUUCAUGCCUUUCUCAGCAGGUAAGAUCUCUGCUUCCUCAGUUGGCUGCAGUCUUGGCCAGCUCAGGUCUUUCCCGUCUCCCUAAUCGGCUGGUGUCGGGGCAAUGAGGGGGAACCUCCCUCCUCCUGCAGCCUAAAUUGGAAGGGCUGCCAGUUUGUGAGGGAGGGGCAGAGGCUUCUGGGUCCAUCAGAACUCCUUGUACCUUUCCUGUGACCAGCUGAAGCAAAAGAAAUGGUGGAAAGAGUGACUCUCCCAGGAGCUGUUCUGGAGCAGCACCUUUGCUCCUUUGGCAUGAUUGUUAUUUUCUCCGUAACAGCCAAAGUGGUUGUUAUGCGUCUUACACUUGUGGUUUCCUUUGCAGGGAAGCGGAUAUGUGCGGGGGAAGGUCUGGCCCGUAUGGAGAUCUUCUUGUUCUUGACCACCAUAUUACAGAACUUCAGUCUGAAGUCCAUCAUUGACCCCAAGGACAUCGAUCCCACACCUGUGUUGAGCAGCAUAGGCAACUUCCCUCGGCCCUAUCAGCUCUGCAUUGUCCCUCGCUGAAAAGCCUGCCUCAGGAGGGCUGCACAUGUGGACAAGUCGCAGCCUGGCAAAUCUUUGUUCAAAAAACCCAUAACACAAUAUCUCCUCACGUGUGGAGCCCUAUCUUCUUACCUGACUAGUUGUUGAACUGUUACUUUGGGGAUCAUGCUAGAGACUAUUUCACGUUGAAGACAUUAUUGCAAUGGACAAAUAGCAGCAUUUAGAAAUUAGUCACACACACAAAAAUCCCAUUCUUAUCUUUCUUGCCCCUUCAUAUGCAUAUGUGUGCAGUGGCGUAGCUAGCCGCUGGAGUGACUGGUGCGGGGGCAUGUCCUGCAGCCAGGGUUGUGUUGAGUGACCCAUGGGGGUGGGGCAAGCCUCUCCAAUGCUUGGAGCCUCUUCGCCACCUCCCUCUCAGCUGUAGGGUGUCUGAGGGAGAGGCAGACAGAAAUCCCACGCUGCAGCGCGAAACUUGCAGGUGCCUAAACCACCAUGUCACUCCAAAAAAUAUUCGUGAGGCCAAUUUUUUAAAAACUGAUUUUGUCACACACACCCCAGUGAUGACAUCCAGGGCAGAUGCACCCCCACACCCCCUUCUUCCACCACUGUAUGAGUGUGAUGGGCAAAAUCUGCCAAGAUGGAAGCUUUUUAGCCACUGAGAAGAAGUCCUGUUACUCUUUGUGUCUUUGGAGGGUGCUGCAGAAAUCAAUAGCUUUUGAAAUCUUUUCCCCUUUCACCUAGCAGAACAUCCUUGAGACUUGACAUUUACAAAUGUUUGCCAAAAAUCCCUUUAAGGGUAAUCAUGUUCUAAAGAACAGAUAGCAAUACUGGAUGCAACUGAACUUCUGAGUAAGUAUGGGGAAUGAACUAAGUUGGAUCCAGUGAUAUGCUAGUCCUAGGAAACAUAUCUUCAAGAAAGGCACAGAGCAUAGAUGGGCAAGAUCUCCCAAGCCCACCUUGGAUGAACUUGGAUGAGAAAACUUCUUUUUUAUCCCCCUGAGCCCAACCAAGGCUCUCAUUGUCUUUAAAAAUCUAGGAGGUCCGGGAAACAAGCUAAUGAAAAAUAAGUAAUGGAAAGAUUGAGUUGUUUUUAACUAUUUUUAUUUUGUAUUUUUCUUUUUUCUAUUUUUAUUUUGUAAUAUUUUGAAAACCUUAAUAAAUAUCUUAUUUUUUAAAAAAAAAUCUAGAACAGAGUGAAAAUGGCCCUCCCCCAAAUUCUCCACUUACUUUGUGGGUGGCAAAAUAAGGAAGGUCAUUUCACUGAAUAUUCCCCAAGGGAGGUCUGAAAAUCUCCAGGAGGAGUUGGAGAGGGAAAACUUUCAAAGAAUUGUCAGAAUUUCUUUCCUCUCAGUCUUCCUUCAGCCCUGCUCCCAUUCAGUGUAACAGAAAAAUGUUUCCCUAGUACAAAUUCAGAGGCAGCCUGGGCAAAAUUGGUGAGGGGAAGUCCACCUAUGAAGUUAACCAAGGGAGAAUGGUCUUCCUCUUCUGUCUUCAGAAUUUUUCUUUUUGGUUCCUGCACCCUCUCAAUUAGCUCCUAUUCAAAGUAGUGAAGUAAUGUUUCUCCAUUGCACUGAAUGGAAGGGGCAAGAGGAAGGAACUUGUCUCUGAUUUUAAUUCAAGCUGGAGAAGAAUUCGGGGCUUGUCCUCUGUCCCCAUUGAAACUCCUGAAGGUCUUCUUCAAACCAAAGUUUGGAGAAGUGUGAUGGUUUCACUAGCAUAGAAAACCACUGCUCCACUUCUUCUGGAGAAUAAGAGCACAUCCAGAUGUAUGUAUUUUUUUUACCUGUUUGUGAAAUGGAAUAGCUUUAUAAGUGUCCUUCACCCUCCCAGAGCUAAAUAAAUAAUACUUUGACAAACUGAAUGCUGUCACUUGUAAAGAUUAUGCAAGUAUAGCAAUUUUAUUUUAUUUGCAGAUUUAUAAACUGCUUCACAACCAAACAUUACUGAAGCUGUGUACAGUAAAAUAACGAGGAUUCCUGAUGCAGUAAACUAC